GGCUCGGUAGCUUAGUUGGAAAAGCACUUGACUAGCGAAUAAGGGUCGUGAGUUCAAAUCUCACCUGAGCUG
Non-coding RNA from Aedes albopictus (Asian tiger mosquito), 72 nucleotides. Lineage: Eukaryota; Metazoa; Arthropoda; Insecta; Diptera; Culicidae. The record is from Rfam.